RNAcentral lists this long non-coding RNA (226 nucleotides) under Bos taurus (domestic cattle). Its description in RNAcentral is "long non-coding RNA NONBTAT026534". Lineage: Eukaryota; Metazoa; Chordata; Mammalia; Artiodactyla; Bovidae. The record is from RNAcentral.
ACUGAAGACCCCAUCUGGGGGCUUGAGCCCCCUCAGGCUUCCCAGGUGGGAAGUGUCACUCCCUGGGGGUGUUUAUUUGCCCUCUUGUAUUUUUUCAGUCCUUCUACAGAAUUUUCUUUAUUUUUAGCUCACUCUUUCCUACCACGUUUUUCAGUCUAUCUUCUCUACUGCCUCCACCACACUGCCUUACAUAAUCCAAAGCACAAUAAAAUUGACAUUUAAUUAA